AGCACCACGAACGGGUGGAGCUUGCGGUUUAAUUGGAUUCAACGCCGGAAUCUUACCGGGACCGACAGCAAUAUGAAGGCCAGGCUGAAGACUUUGCCGGAUUAGCUGAGAGGUGGUGCAUGGCCGUCGUCAGUUCGUACUGUGAAGCAUCCUGUUAAGUCAGGCAACGAGCGAGACCCACGCCCACAGUUGCCAGCGUACUCUCUGGAGUGACGGGUACACUGUGGGGACCGCCGCUGCUAAAGCGGAGGAAGGAAUGGGCAACGGUAGGUCAGUAUGCCCCGAAUAUCCCGGGCUACACGCGAGCUACAAUGGUUGGUACAAUGGGUAUCUACCCCGAAAGGGGACGGGAAUCUCCUAAAACCAAUCUUAGUUCGGAUUGAGGGCUGCAACUCGCCCACAUGAAGCUGGAAUCUGUAGUAAUCGUGUCUCAAAAUGGCACGGUGAAUAUGUCCCUGCUCCUU
RNAcentral lists this ribosomal RNA (464 nucleotides) under uncultured Methanosaeta sp. RNAcentral describes it as "bacterial SSU rRNA". It matches the Rfam family "Archaeal small subunit ribosomal RNA", at positions 875 to 1338 of the family's 1478-position model. Lineage: Archaea; Methanobacteriati; Methanobacteriota; Methanomicrobia; Methanotrichales; Methanotrichaceae. The record is from RNAcentral.